Ribosomal RNA from Carlito syrichta (Philippine tarsier), 120 nucleotides. The record is from Ensembl. Lineage: Eukaryota; Metazoa; Chordata; Mammalia; Primates; Tarsiidae.
AUCUAUGGUCAUGGCACCCUGAAUGCACCCAAUCUUGUCUGAUCCAGGAAGCUAAGCGAGGUAGGGCCUGGUUAGCACUUGUUAAGGGAGACUACCUGAAAAUACUAGGUACUGUAGGAU